GAAGAUAGAGCCUACAUCAUCUAAAGUUCAACUUUGGAAAUUUGCGGGGGAAAAAAGCAAUACAUUUAAAGGAAGUUCUUGCAGGGAAAGCUGUUAUAUUGGAUUACAUUUUGAAAAACAGCUUCAGCUAAAGCUACAAAUGCUUGCUAUUUUUCACACCUGCAUUUCAAACAUUUAUAGGGAAAACUGGAUAGUCUUUGGGUGGUAGUUCUUGUUCUUCUUUCAGAAUAAAGACUUCAUUUUAAAACGUGACCCAGAUUUUUAAAAAUUGAGGCAGCAGAAGUUCUGCAAGGCCCUGAGUAUUUAAUUAGUGCUGUUAGAAAGUCUCCAGGUGAUUUUGAAGUUUUGUGGGAAGCCCUCAGGGAGCGGCGAUGGAUGGGAUGUGGUGGCAGUAACUUGAGGGAUUACCGAACUUACCUCCUUUAUCUCUUAGUUUCUCUGAAACUUAAAAAUACAUACAUAUUCCAACCAAGCUGACGCUCCAUCUAGACUGGUUCCCCAUAUAUGGAGACAGGAGGAUGGAGAUCCUCGGCUAGACUUUGUUUGGGGACCCUGAAUUUAAACUUCCACCGCAGGUGUUUACCUUCAUCACUUCUUCCCUUGCUCUUUAAAUAGAUCCACCAAAGCAGUGACUUAGCAAUCAUCCUGGGCAUCCUUAGCAAUCAUUCUGCGCAGAGAACCCACUUGGGCACUCUGCUUGUUCACUCAGUAAAAUAACAUUCCCAACAAUAAGGAAAAUUAUGACAUCUAGAAAGCCAUUAUUUUCCCAUGUUUUGUUUUUGUCCAGUUGUGUAUUUUUCCUUUCAUCAUAUUCUUUUUUGCAGGUUAAUGAAGCGUUUGCUCAAAGCAUUAGUCUCUCUGCCACUGGAUAUUUUAGCUGAAAAAUAUUUUAUUGGAACUUUCCAACAAAAUCCUCCUGGAUAUAUUGAAAUAUUACAGCUCUUCAGCAGGAUCUGGACCUAUCAACUCCGUGACUGCCCAACAUAGCUUAUAAGACAAUGCAGUUGUAUCACAAGUGUAUGUGAGUCUGGGCUUUCAAAAUGUCUCAGCAAUAAGUCAAAGAGGAGGAAUGGCCACCAUCUGUGUGCUUGGUCUCAUAAAUUGUGUCAUUUGAAUUCAUUUUAGCCUCACUUCCGGCAAAAUACAUCCUCAUUGCCACAGCAACUAGCCCACCAACCAACAAGAUGGUUUAAAAAAGAAAAGUAUUUUGGGGUUUCUUUCUUUU
RNAcentral lists this long non-coding RNA (1225 nucleotides) under Papio anubis (olive baboon). Its description in RNAcentral is "lncRNA (ENSPANG00000050809.1)". Lineage: Eukaryota; Metazoa; Chordata; Mammalia; Primates; Cercopithecidae. The record is from RNAcentral.